GUAGGGAAUAUUGCACAAUGGGCGAAAGCCUGAUGCAGCGACGCCGCGUGAGUGAUGAAGGACUUCGGUUCGUAAAGCUCUGUUCUCAGGGAAUAAAAAAAUGAAUGUACCUGAGGAGAAAGCACCGGCUAACUUCGUGCCAGCAGCCGCGGUAAUACGAAGGGUGCAAGCGUUGCUCGGAAUCAUUGGGCGUAAAGCGAGCGCGGGUGGUUUUGUAAGUCAGGAGUGAAAGCCCAGGGCUCAACCCUGGAAGUGCUUUUGAUACUGCAAAACUUGAGUGUGGGAGAGGGUGCUAGAAUUCCUGGUGUAGUGGUGAAAUACGUAGAUAUCAGGAGGAACACCGGUGGCGAAGGCGGGCACCUGGCCCAACACUGACACUUAGGCUCGAAAGCGUGGGGAUCAAACAGGAUUAGAUACCCGAGUAGUCC
RNAcentral lists this ribosomal RNA (428 nucleotides) under uncultured bacterium. RNAcentral's name for it is "bacterial SSU rRNA". It matches the Rfam family "Bacterial small subunit ribosomal RNA", at positions 354 to 796 of the family's 1533-position model. The record is from RNAcentral.